This 132-nucleotide microRNA precursor is filed under the name Picea abies (Norway spruce). Its description in RNAcentral is "miR482x stem-loop (pab-MIR482x)". Its record names the gene pab-MIR482x. The record is from miRBase by way of RNAcentral. Lineage: Eukaryota; Viridiplantae; Streptophyta; Pinopsida; Pinales; Pinaceae.
AGUGAUUGAUGCGUCUAAUACUCUGAUUUGGUCAGAGUCUCUUAAGUUUGUUGAGGGAUUCAUAUCUAAGUUGAUUCCCUGAACAAUUUUGAGAAACUGUGAGCCAAAUCACAAUAUCAUGCAUACAUCACU